UACGAGAGGCGCAAACGUUAUUCGGAAUUACUGGGCUUAAAGAGUUCGUAGGCGGCGCAGAAAGUAGGGUGUGAAAGCCCUCGGCUCAACCGAGGAAUUGCGCUCUAAACUACUGUGCUUGAGGAAGCUAGAGGUGAGCAGAACAGAUGGUGGAGCGGUGAAAUGCGUUGAUAUCAUCUGGAAUACCGGAGGCGAAGGCGGCUCACUGGGGCUUUUCUGACGCUGAGGAACGAAAGCGUGGGGAGCGAUCCGG
Molecule: ribosomal RNA, 253 nt
Filed under: uncultured bacterium
Lineage: Bacteria
Description: partial 16S ribosomal RNA
Rfam family: Bacterial small subunit ribosomal RNA
Source: RNAcentral